This 460-nucleotide ribosomal RNA is filed under the name uncultured bacterium. Its description in RNAcentral is "partial 16S ribosomal RNA". It matches the Rfam family "Bacterial small subunit ribosomal RNA", at positions 338 to 795 of the family's 1533-position model. The record is from RNAcentral.
CCUACGGGAGGCAGCAGUGAGGAAUAUUGGUCAAUGGGCGCAAGCCUGAACCAGCCAAGUCGCGUGAGGGAUGACGGUCCUAUGGAUUGUAAACCUCUUUUGUCGGGGAGCAAGGCCCGCCACGUGUGGCGGGAAGGAUAGUCCCCAAAGAAAAAGCAUCGGCUAACUCCGUGCCAGCAGCCGCGGUAAUACGGGGGAUGCGAGCGUUAUCCGGAUUUAUUGGGUUUAAGGGGUGCGUAGGCGGAAGGUUAAGUCAGCGGUAAAAUGUCGGUGCUAACCACCGGCCUGCCGUUGAAACUGGGUUUCUUGAGUGAGCGAGAAGUAGGCGGAAUGCGUGGUGUAGCGGUGAAAUGCAUAGAUAUCACGCAGAACUCCGAUUGCGAAGGCAGCAUACCGGCGCUCAACUGACGCUCAUGCACGAAAGCGUGGGUAUCGAACAGGAUUAGAUACCCUAGUAGUC